Molecule: transfer RNA, 72 nt
Filed under: Camelus bactrianus (Bactrian camel)
Lineage: Eukaryota; Metazoa; Chordata; Mammalia; Artiodactyla; Camelidae
Also listed under: 2 other names
Rfam family: tRNA
About the family: Transfer RNA (tRNA) molecules are approximately 80 nucleotides in length. Their secondary structure includes four short double-helical elements and three loops (D, anti-codon, and T loops). Further hydrogen bonds mediate the characteristic L-shaped molecular structure. tRNAs have two regions of fundamental functional importance: the anti-codon, which is responsible for specific mRNA codon recognition, and the 3' end, to which the tRNAs corresponding amino acid is attached (by aminoacyl-tRNA synthetases). tRNAs cope with the degeneracy of the genetic code in two manners: having more than one tRNA (with a specific anti-codon) for a particular amino acid; and 'wobble' base-pairing, i.e. permitting non-standard base-pairing at the 3rd anti-codon position.
Source: Rfam by way of RNAcentral
GAGGGUACAGCUCAGUGGUAGAGUGCAUGCCUAGCAUGCAUGAGGUCCUGGUUUUAAUUCCCAGUACUUACA